This is a long non-coding RNA of Brassica rapa (field mustard), 2015 nucleotides long. RefSeq lists it as uncharacterized. The record is from RefSeq and is a predicted model, not a curated record. Lineage: Eukaryota; Viridiplantae; Streptophyta; Magnoliopsida; Brassicales; Brassicaceae.
AAUUGUUUCUCUUCAAAUACAGGGGGCAUCUUCCAGCACUGAGAUUCUGUUUCUGGCCUGUCUACUUUUGGAUGAGGUGUGGAAGAGGCUAGUGUUCUUAUCAUCUAGGGUGAGCCAGAGGAGCCUGUUGCGUUGCUUCCAGUAUUCUUCAUCUGCCUUAUAGACAGUGAGAGAUUGUUGAUUUAACCAAGAGAUGACUCGUCAUCAGGUAAACGUGCUGAUAGGACUGCAUCCAAAGAGUCCUUUAGUUGGACAAUAAGUUUCCUGCUAUUGACAUAGAAUUUCUUGCUCAAUAUAGAUAUUGCUUGUCUACAACGUGUGAUUUUAUCGGCAACUGAGCAGGCGGAAGAGGUAUUCCAAAUCUCUUUAACUAGCUGUGUGAUCUCAGGAUUGUCAAAUAGUCUCCUAUCGUAUUGGAACAGGCGUACUGACUUCUUUUUCUUUGAAUCCAGGGUGGAAAUGAUAGGGCGAUGGUCAGAUGCUUCAAAUAUAAGGCAGUGGGAGCAGGCUCUUGGAAGGAAAUCUGACCAGGCAUUGUUGGCUAUGGUUCUGUCGAAGCGGCAGUGGACUAAAUGGGAGUGUUUCUGGCCUCUCCAAGAGAUGAAAUUGCAUGUAUGCUUUAUGUAGAAGAGAUUGCAAAACGACAGAAAAGCCCUAAAGGCUGCGAAGGAACUUUCAGGUCUCUCUUUACCUCCUGAUUUCUCUGAGUUGCCAAAAAUUUCAUUGAAGUCUCCCGUUAAAAAAAACAAAGAGUAUCCCUAAAUAGGGACAUAUUAAUUAACUGAUUCCAGACUUCUUGGCGUUUUGGGAUUUCAGGUGCUCCAUAGAUGAAUGUGUUGUUGAAAGAUGAUCCCUUGAAGAAGAUGUGUGUGUCUAUAAGAUUUUGAUUCGCUGAGAGAAUUUGCAAGUAAGUGUCUGACUUCCAGAAUAAACCUAAACCCCCAGGCUGGUGAUAGAGGACUGAAGAGGAAGUUCCUAUCAAAACUUAGCGGUGUUAAUUCUUCGAAGACAAAAUCAUCCUGAUUUUUGGUUUCAGAGAGAAAGAGGAUGUCAGGGACGCAUUGUUUGAUUAGUUCUUUGACCCGCAGAACUGUCAUGGGGUCUCCAAGACCACAACAAUUCCAGCUCAAGAUGACUAAGAGAGAGGAUGGUGGUGUGACCGAAAAUCCGAAGUGGAUCUUCAAGAAGCUGUCGCUACAAGUAGCGGAGGGAGAAAAAGAAACUCCACCUAAACACUCUAAAAUUACUUGAAACUUUAAAGCUUCACCACUUAAAAUAAUUUCAAUAAUAGUGGAUUUCAGAGUACUUUGUGAAAUGUCAAAUUCAACAACAAUAGAUUUUAAAUGUAUUUUUAAAAUUUAUGUUUGAAUAAGAGUGGAUAUGUCAUUUUACUAGAAAUCACCUAAUAAUCUUGGUUGAAUAGACCCCUUAAAAUACCAUGUUGGACAUAUGUAUCACUAUUGGGUGUAUUCAUAUUUAUCCUUUAAAAAAUAAAGAGAGUGAUUGGUUGGGCUGUAACCAUAGAAAAUUUACUUUAGAAUUGAGUCUGUAGGAUUUUUGAUUUAACUUUAAGGGAUGUAGCUUUAAAAUUUCUUACAGCUAAAAAGAUAAGGCUUUACAAAAUAAAAUUUUUAUAAUAAUUUUUUGUGUGUUUUUGCUGUAGCUUUAGUUUUUUUGUUGUACCUUUAAAAACCAAGAUAAAGUAUGAUUGGUAGUAUUUAAGGUUGUAGAUGAAAAUUAAACAUAAAGUCACUUCCUACAGCCUAACCAAUCACCCCCAAAGAAUACUCUAAUUUAUUAUACUAUAGUGUUUCAAUAAAACAUUGAAAACAUAACAAUACUAAUAAUUAAACAACUGUUAACAUGUAUCUAAUUAGUAAUAAAUUCUUUAACUUGUAUAUUGUCAAGAUAUUCUAUUGAUGUUAUAAUUGUUAACUAAAGUGAAUGUAAAAAUAUUUUAAAAAAAUGGUGAAAUGUAUUUAUUCUAAAAUUGUAUUCAUUAAAUAUUACAAUUU